UACAGAGGGUGCUAGCGUUAAUCGGAAUUACUGGGCGUAAAGCGUGUGUAGGUGGUUAGAUAAGUUAGAUGUGAAAUCCCCGGGCUUAACCUGGGCAUUGCGUUUAAGACUGUUUAGCUUGAGUACUGUAGAGGAUAGUGGAAUUUCCAGUGUAGCGGUGAAAUGCGUAGAUAUUGGAAGGAACACCAGUGGCGAAGGCGACUAUCUGGACAGAUACUGACACUGAGACACGAAAGCGUGGGGAGCAAACAGG
RNAcentral lists this ribosomal RNA (253 nucleotides) under uncultured bacterium. RNAcentral's name for it is "partial 16S ribosomal RNA". It matches the Rfam family "Bacterial small subunit ribosomal RNA", at positions 524 to 776 of the family's 1533-position model. The record is from RNAcentral. RNAcentral also lists the same sequence under 2 other names.